CCGCCUUGGAUGGACAGAGGGACGGAGCAGCAAGCAUCCGGCCUCCCCGGCUUCCCUGCAGCGGUCUCCAACUGCUGUCUGCCCGCUGCCCGCCUGCCUGGCAUCUCUCUCCCGGUGCUAGCUGCAUUCCUGGUCUGGGAGCAGGGAGACUGUCUGACCCCUGUGUCACACUGGAUGGUUUUACAGAGGUGCCCCACCUGAUCCUGGAUGGACGUCAUCACCCUACAGUGGUCCUUUCAUGACAGGCCGCAGGGUCACCAUAUGACAAACAGGACACAUCUGCCACAACUGGGAGAUGGGGCUGCUUCCCAAAGGACCCUGUGCCAGGUGAAGAUGAGCCAGGGUCUCUGUACUGGCUGGUUUUGUGUGUUGACUUGACACAGGCUGGAGUUAUCACAGAGAAAGGAGCCUCCGUUGAGGAAAUGCCAUGAGAUC
RNAcentral lists this long non-coding RNA (435 nucleotides) under Mus caroli (Ryukyu mouse). RNAcentral describes it as "lncRNA (MGP_CAROLIEiJ_G0002924.1)". The record is from RNAcentral. Lineage: Eukaryota; Metazoa; Chordata; Mammalia; Rodentia; Muridae.